This 269-nucleotide ribosomal RNA is filed under the name uncultured prokaryote. RNAcentral describes it as "partial 16S ribosomal RNA". It matches the Rfam family "Bacterial small subunit ribosomal RNA", at positions 524 to 792 of the family's 1533-position model. The record is from RNAcentral.
UACGGAGGAUCCGAGCGUUAUCCGGAUUUAUUGGGUUUAAAGGGUGCUCAGGCGGGCCAUUAAGUCGGCGGUGAAAUUUUGCGGAUCAACCGUAAAAGUGCCUUCGAUACUGGUGGUCUUGAGUGUGGAUGAGGUAGGCGGAAUUUGUGGUGUAGCGGUGAAAUGCAUAGAUAUCACGAGGAACUCCGAUUGCUAAGGCAGCUUACUAAGCCAUAACUGACGCUCAAGCACGAAGGCGUGGGGAUCAAACAGGAUUAGAUACCCGUGUA